This 70-nucleotide transfer RNA is filed under the name Loxodonta africana (African savanna elephant). It matches the Rfam family "tRNA". Rfam says of the family: Transfer RNA (tRNA) molecules are approximately 80 nucleotides in length. Lineage: Eukaryota; Metazoa; Chordata; Mammalia; Proboscidea; Elephantidae. The record is from Rfam by way of RNAcentral.
GCAGUGGUGGUUCGGUGGUUGAAUUGUCGACUUCCACGCGGAGGCCCAGGUUCAAUUCCUGGCCAAUGUA